This 465-nucleotide ribosomal RNA is filed under the name uncultured bacterium. Its description in RNAcentral is "partial 16S ribosomal RNA". It matches the Rfam family "Bacterial small subunit ribosomal RNA", at positions 338 to 795 of the family's 1533-position model. The record is from RNAcentral.
CCUACGGGAGGCAGCAGUAGGGAAUCUUCGGCAAUGGACGAAAGCCUGAACGAGCAACGCCGCGUGAGUGAUGAAGGUUUUCGGGUCGUAAAACUCUGUUGUUAGAGAAGAACAGGGACGUUAGUAACUGAACGUCCCCUGACGGUAUCUAACAAGAAAGCCAAGGCUAACUACGUCCCAGCAGCAGAGGUAAUACGUAGGUGGCUAGCGUUGUCCGGAUUUAUUGGGAGUAAAGCGAGCGCAGGCGGUUUCUUAAGUCUGAUGUGAAAGUCCGCGGCUCAACCGGGGAGGGUCAUUUGAAACUGGGAGGCUUGAGUGCAGAAGAGGAGAGUGGAAUGCCAGGUGUAGCGGUGAAAUGCGUAGAUAUAAGGAGGAACACCAGUGGCGAAGGCAGCUCUCUGGUCUGUAACUGACGCUGAGGCUCGAAAGCGUGGGGAGCAAACAGGAUUAGAUACCCUUGUAGUC